Molecule: ribosomal RNA, 497 nt
Filed under: uncultured bacterium
Lineage: Bacteria
Description: partial 16S ribosomal RNA
Rfam family: Bacterial small subunit ribosomal RNA
Source: RNAcentral
GACGAACGCUGGCGGCGUGCCUAAUACAUGCAAGUUGAGCGCUGAAGGUUGGUACUUGUACCAACUGGAUGAGCAGCGAACGGGUGAGUAACGCGUGGGGAAUCUGCCUUUGAGCGGGGGACAACAUUUGGAAACGAAUGCUAAUACCGCAUAAAAACUUUAAACACAAGUUUUAAGUUUGAAAGAUGCAAUUGCAUCACUCAAAGAUGAUCCCGCGUUGUAUUAGCUAGUUGGUGAGGUAAAGGCUCACCAAGGCGAUGAUACAUAGCCGACCUGAGAGGGUGAUCGGCCACAUUGGGACUGGGACACGGCCCAAACUCCUACGGGAGGCAGCAGUAGGGAAUCUUUGGCAAUGGACGAAAGGCUGACCGAGCAACGCCGCGUGAGUGAAGAAGGUUUUCGGAUCGGAAAACUCUGUUGGUAGAGAAGAACGUUGGUGAGAGUGGAAAGCUCAUCAAGUGACGGUAACUACACAGAAAGGGACGGCUAACUACGUG